GGACCCGUGGCGCAAUGGUAGCGCGGUAUGUUAUUUCUGUCCUAAGUGGAGUGUCGUGUAAUAUACUCAUUCCUGGUAUUUAGUCUGAUUCCAGCUACGCUGGCGUGGAGAUUCCAGAAGGUCAUCCGUUCAAAUCGGGUCGGGUUCA
Non-coding RNA from Coniosporium uncinatum, 148 nucleotides. The record is from the annotation of a GenBank genome assembly. NCBI's taxonomy places the organism in Eukaryota, Fungi, Ascomycota, Dothideomycetes.